CCACCACACCCGGCUAAUUGUGCAAUCACUUUUUAAACAAGCAGAUUGUAGGAUGGACAUUGGUAGGAUCUGAUUCCAUCCAUCUUAGAGGGGACCCGGAGAGCUGCAUUUAUGGCAGGUUGCCCUGGUGGUUCUCACCCAGGGCAGGGGCGGCAGCAGGCAGAGCCGUCUCCUCUUCUCCAGGCAACGGCCACAGCAGUAGAGGGGCUCAAUCUGACAAGGAGAGUGAGUCAUUGAAUGAAGCCCCGAGGACGUGAUCUGUCGCCACAGCUGCCAUCCACUGGGCUGCUUUUGCAAGCUUUCCCCAGAGCUUGAGAAAAUGAAUGAAUUUAAAACAUGUGUCAGGGCCUUAAUGAGACUAGUAAACUCCUCAGAGUCCUGCUCUGGUUAAGGUUUGUUAAUUCUGUAAGCCCUUCUGACCAGGGGCCUCUAGCACUGGAGGAUGAGUUGAGGAAUACACUGAAUUAGCAGAAGCUGUGUGACUUUAGGCAAGUUGCUUAACCUCUCUGAGCCUCAGUGUUUUUACCUGUAAACUGGGAACAACAAUUGCCUCAAAAGGAUAGUGCAAAGAUGAACAAGGAUGAGGAACAUGGAUGUCCUCACUGUCAUUAAACAGUCAUGGGAGUUGUCACAUAUGUGCCCUAUGUUUUAAGCAUAAAGUUGGGAGAUGAUGUCUGAAACUGGGGCUUCCACAUCCUUGCACUGCUUUGUGACUGCUGGAGGUUCAAGUCAGGGCAAGUUGUCACCUCCCAGUAAUGGUGAUCCUCUCAAACAGGCAAAAAAUAGAAAAGUGUGCAAAUGGGGUGCAUUUAUUUUAAGGACAUGGGGAGCCUAAAGGAAUGGACAGCUCAGGAAGACCUGGACCCAGGAAUGGGAAAUCCAGAGAGAAUCCAGGAAGGAGCCUUUCCCCUCUUUCUUUCUGGGCCCCCUUCUCUCAUUAUCAUUUCCCCGUCCACGUGGCUCUCUAGGCAGACCAAAGGUCAGACCUUAAAGAGACUCUGUUCAACCUUGAACUUCCUUGCUGACAUGUUUUCAAUUCAAGUGUGUGUGACAAAUCCUAUCAGGCAUUUCCAAGUCCCAACCCCAAAUCCCCAGGCCCAGCUUGGGGGUCUUCAUCCCCAGUCCACCAGCUGCGAGGAAGGGGUCUCGGCUCAGCCCCAGCAUGCUGUGUUGGUGGCUCCCUCCCAACAGGGGUAUCCUUAGAUGAGAAGCAAGCCUAGUAUCCAUAGUGCUUUUCUGAGAGCAGGUGAGCCUUGUUGAAGGCCUCGGGCAAAAAAACAAGCCAGUGAGAGUUGUGUGCACGGGAAUAGCAACAAGGUAAUAUAGGAGAAAGGUCACAGUGGCUUGGAGAUGAAUUCCAGGACACAGCACUGCAGGAGGGACCAUGCCCCUCGAGGCUUCUUAUAUGUGGUUCCUCAGUUCUUGGCUAAGUUAGGAUCCCUGGGCUGACCAACACUGAUGUUUGUACCUGGAGCCAAGUCAUAUUUUAGGCCAAUUCUUUCAUUCCAUGAGAACUUGUCAUCAGAUUUUCCAGGAAGAACAUAAACCUGCCAUUAUAUUUUUGUCUGUUUGGAAGCUUCUUUUGCCCUCUAGAAGCCCAGUGCUACCAAAUCCCAUGAAGAGUUUGUGCUGGGUUCAGACCCUGUUCAGUACCCCAUUCUCAGCUCCAUGGGGGGAAGCUUGCAGCUCUCUAUUGAUGAGAGUCUUGGCUCUCUGCUGUUUCUUGGGUAUCUUUUUGUGACAAGGAUGGCUGGUGCUGGCACGCACUGUAAACGAGGAGGGGAUGGGCCUAAGUUUCCAUCACGCUGCAAAGCAGAACCAUCUGUUGGUGGCUUCUCUGUUAGCCCGUGGCUGUGAAGAGAGCAUUUAACAAUGAAGAGCUGGGGCCAGAGACACGAGUCCUUGGCUCCAGUUCCUGUUUGUCUCCAGGCUGCCGCAUUCCACAGAAGGCAGUAAACUGACAUUCUGAGAAUGUUUGUCUCUGCCAGCCAGGGCUUGGCUAAUCCUGGUGACCUGCAGCAGAUUCCCCACCAAGAAGACAUCCAGUGGAAAGACAGAACUUCCAGUCUAUGCUGAGUAAGAGUGAUGAGAGCAGACAUCCUGCCUUUGUUCCUAAUCUUAGGAGGAAAGCAUUCAAUCUUUCACAGAGCCCACCAUGAAAUCUGUCCCAAAUCAUGGAACCCCGAGGUGAAAGGCCCCCAGGCAUGCCAACACAUGGCAGACAAAUCCAGUUGUGUCCAGGGAUGGCGUUCCCUCCAGUUUUCUGAAAGACGCUCCCAUAUUCCUUAAGCACAGGGAUCUACUAAAGGAUGUGCUCCUUAAAAAUGAGGGAGUAAGCCGAGAAAGAGGAAGAUGUGGGCUCUAGAAAAUGGAAUCCAAUGCAGCAAAAGGCAUCUGAAAAUCAGUGGAAAUCAUCGCCAACUCUCACUCCUCCCAAUUACCUCCUGGGUGGGCUGGAACCUGAGAAAUCUCAUCAGUAAAGCUCAACAGCGUUGCCGAAUGCAUUCUCCUCUUCAGGCUACAAGAGCUUUGGGGUUGCAUGCUGUCACUCAAGAUCAACCGUAAGGGGCUCACAGAGGUCCAGAGAGGCCUCAGUGCUCCCUGAUGUUGAUGCCCCCAAAACCAGUCCAAAUCUAAGCCAGGUGCUCGGACCCACAGCAGCGGUCAGGGCCCUGCAGCCGGGCAGAACGCUGCUCCUCUGCGAACCUAACAGGGACAGGCAGAAGAGUAGAUAGAUGCCCACCCUCCCCGAUCUCCAGCUGAGAUGCACAUUGGCCCAGAACAAGUGAGCUGCCUUGCAGAGCCACCACGAGAAGGAAGCCGAGGCAGGAACAGAAGUGUCUGCUGUCUAUGUGCUAACAUGCACACAGACUGUGCCCCAGUUUCUAGCCCCGAGUCACAGCGAGGCUUCUCUGAGGACACAGUCCUGCUCUUUUGCCUGCCAAGUCAUCGGCUCCCCGCACCUCUAGUGGGAAGCUGUGGGGUGGCCGAGAACUGGGUGAGCCCACCCCCCACCAGAAGGCUCUCUGUUCACCCAGUGACAUCAUCUUCUGCUCCCUGUGAUCUUGGUAAUCCUAUCCAUCCUGUGCUUUCCCCCAGAAAAAUAAAUUAAAGCAGGGCCCUCUGAGUCCCCAAUCUACUUAAUUGUACUGCCUUCACAGUCUUUGUUUGAGAAACAGUCCCCACAGCUCAAGACUCUUCAAGCAUGGAUCUGUAUUGCCAUGAUUAUUUCUGGAAUCUCUUUGAAAUUCCACUCGAUGCAGAAAACAUGUCCCACCUGUCUCAGAUCUCACUCCAUUCAGUCCAUGCAGAGUGGUCUUUCCACCCAGCCCCUCUCCUGGGGAGCCAACCUGGGAAAGUUCCCACACACCUUGUCAGAGCCCCACUACCUGGGCAGUGAUCAGGAGGUUUGCAGAAAAUGGAGAGGCCUUAAUUUACAGCCAAUGAGGUCAGGCCAUCACAGCGAUGCCCAGGGCAGAGGGCAAGAAGGAAUGAGCUCCACAGACGUCCAACUGCCCUCAGGAUUGGAGAAUCCAGACAGCCCCUGCAUGCCUCCUCUGGCUUCAUCCAAGUCAGGACAGAGUCAUCUGCAGGCACAAAUCAACUCCAGAACCUUUCCUGAAUGACACAAAGGCUCUGAAAUCGGUGUCUGCCUCUGGUCAGUUUGAGCCCCUCUCCUGCACUGUGUACAGGAAGAAUGACAGACUUUAUGCAGAAUGCUUUUAAUUUUUCUCUAUGUCAGAGCAAUGCUCAACUCACUGAGCCCUGACUUGCAGGAUGACUAGUUCCAGGGCACCCUGGGGCAAUCCUGUUCCAGGAACAACCUUUAGUGAGCCAGGGUGGUCCUUUUCCAUCCUGCUCACACGUGUGCCAACAAUCGGAUUUUAGUACUUUCUGUGCUCCCAGAGGACUGACUCCUGGGGAUGGCCGCCAUCUGCUCAGCCUCCUGUCACAAGCCUGAGUCCCACCUCGCUGCUAGUCACAGAUCCCAGCCAGCCCGUAGCUCCUGUCCAAACACAAAAGCCAGGUCUUGCAGUAGAAGACAAAUCCCAUGCACCAACUUAUUAAACUAAAGAAGAAGCCAAGUGAAAAAGGCAUCACCAGAAGUAACUUGAAGUUGUUCUGGGCUUUUGGCUUGGUGCCAGUCUAGCUGAAAAUCAGGUAGCUGAGGUGUGGUGGGAAGCUGGAGUCAGAGGGACCAAAGUGGAAAUGAAUGCCCUUGGACAGAAUGCCACAAUAGGCCAAGCACAUGGUAAGCACUUGAUCGAUGCCAGCUACCAUUUUUGCUUAUUUGCUUUUAUUAUUAAUGUUUAAAUUUAUAGACAGUGAAAUGGACUUCCAUGUAGUGUACAGUUCUAUGAGUUUUAAGACAUGUAGAUUUGUGUAACCACCUCCACAAUUAGGUUAUGGAAGACUUCCAUCCCCCAGACUCUGGCCUCAAGCUGCCUUUCAUAGCCAAACUCUUCUCCACCCCCAACCCCUGACAACUGCUGGUCUGUUUUCCAUCCCUAUGGUUUUGCUUUAUAAACUCACGCAGUAGGUAA
Homo sapiens (human) is the source of this 4544-nucleotide long non-coding RNA. RefSeq lists it as uncharacterized. Lineage: Eukaryota; Metazoa; Chordata; Mammalia; Primates; Hominidae. The record is from RefSeq and is a predicted model, not a curated record. The transcript is spliced from 5 exons.